Molecule: ribosomal RNA, 488 nt
Filed under: uncultured bacterium
Lineage: Bacteria
Description: partial 16S ribosomal RNA
Rfam family: Bacterial small subunit ribosomal RNA
Source: RNAcentral
GACGAACGCUGGCGGCGUGCUUAACACAUGCAAGUCGAACGGAAAGGCCCUGCUUUUGUGGGGUGCUCGAGUGGCGAACGGGUGAGUAACACGUGAGUAACCUGCCCUUGACUUUGGGAUAACUUCAGGAAACUAGGGCUAAUACCGUAUAGGAGCUCCUGCUGCAUGGUGGGGGUUGGAUAGUUUCGGCGGGUGGGGAUGGACUCGCGGCUGAUCAGCUAGUUGGUGGGGUAGUGGCUCACCAAGGCGACGACCGGUAGCCGGCCUGAGAGGGUGAUCGGCCACACUAGAACUGAGAGACGGUGCAGCCGCCUACGGGAGGCAGCAGUGGGGAAUAUUGGACAAUAGCCGCGAGCCUGAUCCAGCCAUACCGCGUGGGUGAAGCAGGCCUUCGGGUUGGAAAGCCCUUGUGUUGGUAAAGAAAAGCAGCAGGUGAAUACCCCGCGGUUCUGGCGGUACCCAAAGAAUAAGCACCGGCUAAAUUCGUG